CGGGGCGUGCUAGACUUCGUGCGACUGUGUCAAUUUUCAUGGCGGUGUUGACCGGCACACUACCCAGAAAGCCUUGUUCCACCGUGGGUUCGUAGAGGUUCAAAUCCUCUCGCCCCGACCA
RNAcentral lists this transfer RNA (121 nucleotides) under Burkholderia cepacia. Its description in RNAcentral is "tRNA-OTHER". The record is from RNAcentral. Lineage: Bacteria; Pseudomonadati; Pseudomonadota; Betaproteobacteria; Burkholderiales; Burkholderiaceae. RNAcentral also lists the same sequence under 1 other name.